This 467-nucleotide ribosomal RNA is filed under the name uncultured bacterium. RNAcentral's name for it is "partial 16S ribosomal RNA". It matches the Rfam family "Bacterial small subunit ribosomal RNA", at positions 28 to 507 of the family's 1533-position model. The record is from RNAcentral.
GACGAACGCUGGCGGCGUGCUUAACACAUGCGAGUCGAACGGAAAGGCCUCUUUCGGGGGGUACUCGAGUGGCGAACGGGUGAGUAACACGUGAGUAACCUGCCCUUGACUUUGGGAUAACUUCAGGAAACUGGGGCUAAUACCGGAUAGGAGCUCCUGCUGCAUGGUGGGGGUUGGAAAGUUUCGGCGGUUGGGGAUGGACUCGCGGCUUAUCAGCUUGUUGGUGGGGUAGUGGCUUACCAAGGCUUUGACGGGUAGCCGGCCUGAGAGGGUGACCGGCCACAUUGGGACUGAGAUACGGCCCAGGCUCCUACGGGAGGCAGCAGUGGGGAAUAUUGCACAAUGGGUGGAAGCCUGAUGCAGCAACGCCGUGUGCGGGAUGACGGCCUUCGGGUUGUAAACCGCUUUCGCUCAUGACGAAGCUUUGUGUGACGGUAGUGGGUAAAGAAGCACCGGCUAACUACGUG